GUAGUAGUGGUGGUAGCAGUAGUGGUAGUAGCGGUGGUAAUAGUGGUAGUAGUAGUAGCAGAAGUGGUGGUGGUGUUGGUGAUGGUAGUAGUAGUAGUAUUAGUGGCAGUGGUAGUAGUGGUAGAAGCAGUGGUAGUAGUGGUGGUGAUGGUGAUGGUAGAAGUGGUGGUAGUAGUAGUAGUAGUAGCAGUAGUGGUGGUGAUGGUAGUAGUGGUGGUAGUAGUAGUGAUAGUGGUAGUGGUGGUAGUAGUAGUAGUGGUAGUAGCGGUGGUAAUAAUGGUAGUAGCAGUAGUGGUGGUGAUGGUAGUAGUGGUGGUAGUAGUAAUGAUAGUAGUAGUGGUAGUGGUGGUAGUAGUAGUAGUGGUAGUAGCGGUGGUAAUAGUGGUAGUAGUAGUAGCAGUAGUGGUGGUGAUGGUAGUAGUGGUGGUAGUAGUAGUAGCAGUGGUGGUGGUGAUGGUAGUAGUGGUGGUAGUAGUAGUGAUAGUAGUAGUG
This is a long non-coding RNA of Ictalurus punctatus (channel catfish), 492 nucleotides long. Lineage: Eukaryota; Metazoa; Chordata; Actinopteri; Siluriformes; Ictaluridae. The record is from Ensembl.